UCCGGCCUCAAGUAAGUCCCCGUCAGAAAUGUUAUAAGGGACCUCCAAACCCGACCGAAACAUUAAUGGCGCCCACCGUGGGGCCGAGCGUGCAUCCCCAUUCGUACCCAUAAGGAAAGGGUGAGUAGUGCUCUCAAGAAUCUCAGGUGAACCUCUCAAGCCGCUCGGUCUCGGCCCUUCGGCCUCAACAGCUCGGCCAUCCG
RNAcentral lists this long non-coding RNA (203 nucleotides) under Vigna radiata. Its description in RNAcentral is "long non-coding RNA (VRAD_LNC018040)". Lineage: Eukaryota; Viridiplantae; Streptophyta; Magnoliopsida; Fabales; Fabaceae. The record is from RNAcentral.